AAGCUGGAAGGCCUGGUUCUGGCCAGGCGUGGGCUACAGCCUUAACAGAGAGGCAGUGUUCCCCAGGAUCCAGCAAGGCAGUGACGGGGAUCAAGUAUACUGAUUGUUCAGAGCAACACAUCUAGCUCAGAACAUGAGCUUCUAGAGAGCAGUGUUUUCAGCCUCAUCACGCGGAGAAAGACUGAGGGAAAAGAGGAUGUUCCCCUAAAGAAAUAUGUGGAGAAAGCGUGGGGUUGCGAGUCUGACAUCGCAGUUGGAACUUUGCCUCCAUUCUCCAGCUAGCAUCGAAGAUGGGGAACCAACGCCCAGGAAGUGAAAGCUCAAACAGCUGGUCAACACCAAUAUGGGGACUUCAGCUUUGGUUUAUCUAAAUCCAAAACUGAUGGUCUUCAAUGAUGUAAG
This is a long non-coding RNA of Neofelis nebulosa (Clouded leopard), 402 nucleotides long. RefSeq lists it as uncharacterized. The transcript is spliced from 3 exons. The record is from RefSeq and is a predicted model, not a curated record. Lineage: Eukaryota; Metazoa; Chordata; Mammalia; Carnivora; Felidae.